RNAcentral lists this long non-coding RNA (234 nucleotides) under Panax ginseng (ginseng). RNAcentral describes it as "long non-coding RNA (PGIN_LNC013750)". The record is from RNAcentral. Lineage: Eukaryota; Viridiplantae; Streptophyta; Magnoliopsida; Apiales; Araliaceae.
UGGGAUUGGACCCAGAUAUCUGGAAAUCGAAGUCCAAAUCUAGUAGUUGGGUGUUCGAGUUGAGAGGAGAAAGAGAGAAGAUCGGAAAAUGGGAAAGAGCUCCUAACAAUUGAAUUGCAAGCUCUGUAAUGUGGAGUUUGUGUUGAAAUAAUGAAGGCCUUUUGAGUAUGAUUUAAUUUUCUCUUUUCUUCUCUCUCAAGAAUUUCGGAGAGAGAAUAAUUAAGAGGAAGACAG